This 742-nucleotide ribosomal RNA is filed under the name uncultured bacterium. RNAcentral's name for it is "bacterial SSU rRNA". It matches the Rfam family "Bacterial small subunit ribosomal RNA", at positions 8 to 796 of the family's 1533-position model. The record is from RNAcentral.
AGAGUUUGAUCCUGGCUCAGAGCGAACGCUGGCGGCAGGCUUAACACAUGCAAGUCGAGCGGGCGUAGCAAUACGUCAGCGGCAGACGGGUGAGUAACGCGUGGGAACGUACCUUUUGGUUCGGAACAACACAGGGAAACUUGUGCUAAUACCGGAUAAGCCCUUACGGGGAAAGAUUUAUCGCCGAAAGAUCGGCCCGCGUCUGAUUAGCUAGUUGGUAGGGUAAUGGCCUACCAAGGCGACGAUCAGUAGCUGGUCUGAGAGGAUGAUCAGCCACAUUGGGACUGAGACACGGCCCAAACUCCUACGGGAGGCAGCAGUGGGGAAUAUUGGACAAUGGGCGCAAGCCUGAUCCAGCCAUGCCGCGUGAGUGAUGAAGGCCCUAGGGUUGUAAAGCUCUUUUGUGCGGGAAGAUAAUGACGGUACCGCAAGAAUAAGCCCCGGCUACUUCGUGCCAGCAGCCGCGGUAAUACGAAGGGGGCUACGUUGCUCGGAAUCACUGGGCGUAAAGGGUGCGUAGGCGGGUCUUUAAGUCAGGGGUGAAAUCCUGGAGCUCAACUCCAGAACUGCCUUUGAUACUGAGGAUCUUGAGUUUGGGAGAGGUGAGUGGAACUGCGAGUGUAGAGGUGAAAUUCGUAGAUAUUCGCAAGAACACCAGUGGCGAAGGCGGCUCACUGGCCCGAUACUGACGCUGAGGCACGAAAGCGUGGGGAGCAAACAGGAUUAGAUACCCUAGUAGUCC